This 69-nucleotide transfer RNA is filed under the name Marmota monax (woodchuck). Its description in RNAcentral is "tRNA.Gly". The stretch from base 4 to 64 matches the Rfam family "tRNA", at positions 6 to 65 of the family's 71-position model. Rfam says of the family: Transfer RNA (tRNA) molecules are approximately 80 nucleotides in length. Their secondary structure includes four short double-helical elements and three loops (D, anti-codon, and T loops). Further hydrogen bonds mediate the characteristic L-shaped molecular structure. tRNAs have two regions of fundamental functional importance: the anti-codon, which is responsible for specific mRNA codon recognition, and the 3' end, to which the tRNAs corresponding amino acid is attached (by aminoacyl-tRNA synthetases). tRNAs cope with the degeneracy of the genetic code in two manners: having more than one tRNA (with a specific anti-codon) for a particular amino acid; and 'wobble' base-pairing, i.e. permitting non-standard base-pairing at the 3rd anti-codon position. Lineage: Eukaryota; Metazoa; Chordata; Mammalia; Rodentia; Sciuridae. The record is from RNAcentral.
GGUUGUGGCUCAGUGGUAGAGUGCUUGCCUCCCAUGCUUGAGGCACUGAGUUCAAUCCUCAGCACAUCA